RNAcentral lists this ribosomal RNA (484 nucleotides) under uncultured bacterium. RNAcentral's name for it is "partial 16S ribosomal RNA". It matches the Rfam family "Bacterial small subunit ribosomal RNA", at positions 29 to 523 of the family's 1533-position model. The record is from RNAcentral.
AGUGAACGCUGGCGGCGUGCUUAACACAUGCAAGUCGAGCGAGAACGGGUUAUAGCUUGCUAUAAUUGUCAGCUAAGUGGCGCACGGGUGAGUAAUGUAUAGGUAAUAUGCCUCUUACUAAGGGAUAACAAAUGGAAACGUUUGCUAAUACCUUAUACUCCUUAUUAACAGAAGUUAAUAAGGGAAAGAUUUAUUGGUAAGAGAUUAGCCUGUAUUGUAUCAGUUAGUUGGUGGGGUAAUGGCUUACCAAGACUAUGACACAUAACUGGUUUGAGAGGAUGAUCAGUCACACUGGAACUGAGACACGGUCCAGACUCCUACGGGAGGCAGCAGUGGGGAAUAUUGCACAAUGGACGAAAGUCUGAUGCAGCAACGCCGCGUGGAGGAUGACACAUUUCGGUGCGUAAACUCCUUUUAUAUGAGAAGAUAAUGACGGUAUUAUAUGAAUAAGCACCGGCUAACUCCGUGCCAGCCGCCGCGGUAA